This 490-nucleotide ribosomal RNA is filed under the name uncultured bacterium. Its description in RNAcentral is "partial 16S ribosomal RNA". It matches the Rfam family "Bacterial small subunit ribosomal RNA", at positions 30 to 507 of the family's 1533-position model. The record is from RNAcentral.
AUUGAACGCUGGCGGCAGGCCUAACACAUGCAAGUCGAACGGUAACAGGAAGCAGCUUGCUGCUUUGCUGACGAGUGGCGGACGGGUGAGUAAUGUCUGGGAAACUGCCUGAUGGAGGGGGAUAACUACUGGAAACGGUAGCUAAUACCGCAUAACGUCGCAAGCCCAAAGAGGGGGACCUUCGGGCCUCUUGCCAUCGGAUGUGCCCAGAUGGGAUUAGCUAGUAGGUGGGGUAACGGCUCACCUAGGCGACGAUCCCUAGCUGGUCUGAGAGGAUGACAGGCCACACUGGAACUGAGACACGGUCCAGACUCCUGCGGGAGGCAGCAGUGGGGAAUAUUGCACAAUGGGCGCAAGCCUGAUGCAGUCAUGCCGCGUGUAUGAAGAAGGCCUUCGGGUUGUAAAGUACUUUCAGCGGGGAGGAAGGGAGUAAAGUUGAUACCUAUGCUCAUUGACGUUACCCGCAGAAGAAGCACCGGCUAACUCCGUG